RNAcentral lists this RNase P RNA (375 nucleotides) under Rhodocyclus tenuis. RNAcentral's name for it is "Bacterial RNase P class A". It matches the Rfam family "Bacterial RNase P class A". From Rfam's summary of the family: Ribonuclease P (RNase P) is a ubiquitous endoribonuclease, found in archaea, bacteria and eukarya as well as chloroplasts and mitochondria. Its best characterised activity is the generation of mature 5'-ends of tRNAs by cleaving the 5'-leader elements of precursor-tRNAs. Cellular RNase Ps are ribonucleoproteins. The record is from Rfam by way of RNAcentral. Lineage: Bacteria; Pseudomonadati; Pseudomonadota; Betaproteobacteria; Rhodocyclales; Rhodocyclaceae.
GAAGUCAGUCAGACAGCCGCCGGGCGCUUCAUGCGCCGGGAGGAAAGUCCGGGCUCCGCAGAGCAGGAUGCCGGCUAACGGCCGGGCGCUAUAAGCCGCAAGGCGAAGGCGACGGAAAGUGCAACAGAGAACAGACCGCCGAUGGCCCUCCCGGAAACGGGCGGGAUCAGGUAAGGGUGAAACGGCGAGGUAAGAGCUCACCGCGGACGCGGCAACGCGGACGGCACGGUAAACCCCAUCCGGAGCAAGGCCGAAUAGGGAAGCAAUGACGUUGCUCGCGUCGCUUCCGGGUAGGCUGCUUGAGCGUGCCGGCAACGGUACGCCUAGAGGAAUGGCUGUCCACGACAGAACCCGGCUUAUCGACGGGCUUCCCCA